This is a long non-coding RNA of Bicyclus anynana (squinting bush brown), 2438 nucleotides long. RefSeq lists it as uncharacterized. Lineage: Eukaryota; Metazoa; Arthropoda; Insecta; Lepidoptera; Nymphalidae. The transcript has 3 exons. The record is from RefSeq and is a predicted model, not a curated record.
CGUAAUGUUCUAACUAUUAUGUAGCAGGGAGACUAGUUUCGUUGCAAUACAAUGUUCCCCGUGUAGUUACUAUACUGAACUAUCAGUGUUACCAAUAAUUCAUUACAAUGUUUAUUUGGUCUCGUCGUGACUGUGCGUGCCAGUUGAAAGUGAAGUUUUUUAAACACGAAGUUUUACAUUAAUAUGGAUCCCAGUUCCGCCACACACCUCGACUGCAGUGGCGCGUCAAUGCAGCACUUGAUUCGGAACCCAUUUUAAAUAAGAGCACGGGCCUGGACCGUACUAUUGUACGUAACAAAAUAAAGUUCGAAGCAUAGCUGAGGGUGUGCUUGAACAAAUUAUGUUUUCUCUCCUUAGAAGCCUUGAUAUCAUGAAAGUGAAUUAUAAUACCCUCAAUAACGUAGUUGACCAUGAUAAAGCUAUUCUUCCAUACAAUCUAUAUGUUGAAACAGAAUAAAGACAAGCCCUGUCAGAUUUAAUCAAGGAAGUCGGCAACGAGACUGGCAGAACGAUCAUUUUGAUAAUGAAGACUUGGUUCUAUAACUUUGUAAAAUUAGUAUAAAAUUUUGGAUUUAAUUUUUAUUUUUUUAGGUACACAUGUUUUAGUUAUUAAACUGUAUUGAAGUAAUAAUAAUAUACUGUCACAUCCGCUUCUUUCGAAACCUACUUAGUGAUAAAUAUGUACAUAUAGUUAGUGACAGUAUGUAAUAUAAGUUUUUUAACCAAAGUUUGUGUACCUAUACCUUUUAAAAAGUAUUAUUUAUAAAAAUAAUACUUUUUAAAAGGUUUAAAUUCUUAUUAUAUAAAAAACUAGCGGACGCCCGCGACUUCGUCCGCGUAAAAAUUGAUGUAAACUUCUCUACCUCUACCUUAUCCUGCUCGUAAACCUACCCAACUCUACCCUACCCUACCCCUACCUUACUCCUACCCUACCGCUAACGCUAACCCUUCCUUCCCCCCACCUUACCCUACCCUAACCCUACCCGUAACCUAUCCAUACCCUAUCCUACCCUACCCCUAAUCUACCCCUACCCUACCCCUACCUUAUUCCUACCCUACCGCUAACCCUAACCCUUCCCUACCCCUACCUUAUCCCUACCCUAACCCUACCCUACCCGUAACCUACCCCUACCCUACCCUACCCCUAUCCUACUCCUCCCCUACCCUAUACGUUCCAUAUCCUUCCCCUACCUCUACCUCUCCCCUACCCUACACUACCCCUACCUUAUCCGUACCCUACCCUACCCUACCCUACACUUUCCCUAAAUUACCCCUACCCUACCUCUAUCCUACCCCUUCCCUACCUCUAUCCUAUCCCUACCCUCAGCAAAAUUGGUCCAGCCUUUUGUGCGUGGUGCAAUGACAAAAAGACUAUAAUUUCUAAUACUAAUACUAUAAAGAGGUAAAGUUUGUGUGGUUGUCGGGGGUAAUCUCUGGAUCUACUGGACCGAUUUGGAAAAUUCUUUUACCAAUAGAAAGCUACAUUAUUUGCGAGUGUCAUAGGCUAUGUUUGGUCCUCAUAUUCAUACGGGAACGGGAACCACGUAAUUGAAACCGCGGGGCGUCAAAUAGCGGCAUUUCUGCGACUUUCAGAAAUUUUGUAUUAUCUCCGAAACUAUAUAACUAAUUAACAUACUGUAAAGGGCAAAUCUUAUCUCUAUAAUAUCCUUGUGAUUAUUAAAUAAUUUAUUUUGAUAAGGAUUUAAGUUUAGUUGUGUAAAUAAUGACGUAAACCUUAGUUUAAAAUUUAAAUAAUUUAUUAAAGUACUAAAGGUACUAUAUCUGCUAAAAUAUAAAAGAUAGAUAUAUGGUGUCGCGGACUUUUUUGUAGAACUUUUAAAGGUUCAAAAAGCCUCCAUACAUUUAUUUCAGUUAUACGCAAUGGUUGAGGCAGCGCAUGCGAAUAAGUAAGUUUUUCGGUCUGACCUGUAAGAGAAAACCCGCGAUCUCUCAGUAGUUAUAUAUGAUAUAAAUAUAAAAUAUAGCCUAUAGCACUCCCCGAUAACGUAGCAUUCUAUUGGUGAAAGAAUUUUUAAAAUCGGUCCAGUAGUUCCGAAGAUUACCCCAUUUCAAAAAAUUGUUACAAACUUACAAACUUACAAACUUACAAACUUUACCUCUUUAUAAUAUUAGUAUAGAUAUAUAUUUUACUGUCCAUUUUUACCCUACUUUCAAUAAUGUUAAAAGUUUUUGAUUUAUUUUUUUUUUAAUUCUGAACGAUAUGCAGUCAUAGUAUGGGUUGGCAGUAACAUCAAACCUAGCUAGAGUCUGUGAUAAUCUUAAGUCCAGCUCGAACCCAGGACUUUGUAAGCCACAUAGGCGAACCACUGGAUGCAGUGGAAGCUAUUCAGGUGAACAUUAUUGUUUCUAUUUUUCCAGCAUAGCUGAGGGUUUGCUUGAAUAUCUUACGUUAUCUAAACGUGUACUUAUUCGAGCCU